RNAcentral lists this ribosomal RNA (282 nucleotides) under uncultured bacterium. RNAcentral describes it as "partial 16S ribosomal RNA". It matches the Rfam family "Bacterial small subunit ribosomal RNA", at positions 338 to 617 of the family's 1533-position model. The record is from RNAcentral.
CCUACGGGAGGCAGCAGUGAGGAAUAUUGGUCAAUGGCCGGAAGGCUGAACCAGCCAAUCCGCGUGCAGGACGAAGGUGCCAAGCAUUGUAAACUUCUUUUGUCAAGGGACAAAAUUAGGCUCGAGAGCCUGACUGAGGGUACUUUAAGAAAAAGCAUCGGCUAACUCCGUGCCAGCAGCCGCGGUAAUACGGAGGAUGCAAGCGUUAUCCGGAUUUAUUGGGUUUAAAGGGUCCGUAGGCGGGCUGUUAAGUCAGCGGUAAAAUCCCGUGGCUCAACCCUG